AUUGAACGCUGGCGGCAGGCCUAACACAUGCAAGUCGAGCGAGCGGCGGACGGGUGAGUAAUGUAUGGGGCUCUGCCCGAUAGAGGGGGUUAACUACUGGACACGGAUGCCAAAACCGCAUACUAUCGGAUGUACCGAUAUGGGAUUAGCUAGUAGUUGGGGUAAAGGCUCACCUAGGCGACUAUCUCUAGCUGGUCUGAGAGGAUGAUCAGCCACACUGGAACUGAGACACGGCCCAGACUCCUACGGGAGGCAGCAGUGGGGAAUAUCGCACAAUGGGCGCAAGCCUGAUGCAGCCAUGCCGCGUGUAUGAAGAAGGCCUUAGGGUUGUAAAGUACUUUCAGCGGGGAGGCGUUACCCGCAGAAGAAGCACCGGCUAACUCCGUGCCAGCCGCCGCGGUAAUAC
RNAcentral lists this ribosomal RNA (406 nucleotides) under uncultured bacterium. Its description in RNAcentral is "partial 16S ribosomal RNA". It matches the Rfam family "Bacterial small subunit ribosomal RNA", at positions 30 to 526 of the family's 1533-position model. The record is from RNAcentral.